GUUGUGGCGCUCUUUCAGAUUGGAAUUUUUCAUUGUGGCGCUCCCUCAAACCCUCGUAGACUCGCUUNAAGAUCUCUAUAUCUCUCAGACUCUUGCUUCUUCCUUCUUCAUAAUAAAGAAAUUGUUGUUGAUUCGUUGAAAACCCUUGUCGAGAGACGAGGUGAAAACCCUAACGCAGGUCCACAGCUCGCACCUUAACCGCUCACGGCUUCACAGCUCGCACCUUAACCGCUCACGGCUUCACAGCUCGUGCCUUCACCGCUUGCGCAUCCAUUGUCGAGCUCGGUUUUGGUUGAUCGACUUUUGAAAGCUUGCACCGUUGCCAUUGCGUAAUGAUCCGUCAUGGGAUUUGCACAAAGAUUCGCCAAAUAGAUUCCCUUGUUCUUGAAAAUGUAGUUGAUUUUGAUGAAUAGAGAUUCUGAAAUGUGAAAGACAGUGGUAGACUUAUUCUUGGGCCAAGCCAUGGAAGGGAGAGUGCAAAAGAAAAAGAGAGAGGUCAGAGAGUAGCUCCUCNCUGAUGCCGAGACCAAAACAUUCUUAGAGCUCCAGACGAGGUUCUAUCAGUAAACUCCUUUAAUCAAUAUGUAAAAGAAGCUGUCAAAAGUAUUCUUACUAGCAUUUCAGAAUCGAGUGUUUGGUGGUGGAUUGGAAUUCACACUGCAUGUGAUGGCCCAUGAUGAUGCACGGAUCAGUGGCAUACAAGCAACAAAUAUAUCAGACUUGGCAUUUGAAGCAAGAUUUUGCAUGGUGUUUGCCCUGUAAAAGGGAGAAAAUGCAGAAGUUACUAAGUAGAAGUCAGGAAGACAGGUUUCAUUUAAUUUNCUUGAAAAGUAUUUGGAAACACACUCAAACGCCUCUAUGUGGGGAAAUGAGCUCCUAGAUGUAGGCUACCAACCUUUAUGCAUCCAGAUUCCCUACACUGCAAGGGCUCUUAAUUUUGAACUAAGAACUCCAGCCUCACGUUUUGUUCCUUAGUUGGUAUAAGGCUUGUUUCUUGCAUAUUAUUUUCUCUGUUAGUUUUGUUAACAUGAAGAUAUUUGGUAUUAUUUUUUAUAAUUUGAUAGUUUAUUUGACUUUUAUCAAUAUAUGAAACUAUUAGUUAUUGGGUGUA
Molecule: long non-coding RNA, 1111 nt
Organism: Vigna radiata var. radiata (mung bean)
Lineage: Eukaryota; Viridiplantae; Streptophyta; Magnoliopsida; Fabales; Fabaceae
Exons: 6
Source: RefSeq, a predicted model, not a curated record